Molecule: long non-coding RNA, 560 nt
Organism: Homo sapiens (human)
Lineage: Eukaryota; Metazoa; Chordata; Mammalia; Primates; Hominidae
Source: Ensembl
CUUAAGAAAUACCUGAUGAUGAGGCCGGGCAUGGUGGCUCACGCCAGCACUUUGGGAGGCCGAGGUCCCAAGAUAAAGAACGCCAUUCAGGAAUCGUGCAGGCAUAGCUGGACUGGAUGGACUUAUGUCAAAUGACUACAGUCAAGAUCCUGGUGCUUAGAGUGGGCAAAACCUGGAUCUCACUCCAUUGUUAAGACUGGAGGAAAAAUAUGGCUUCCCUGGUAGCUGAUGGGUCCGGAAUUGGUGGGUUCUUGGUCUCACUGACUUCAAGAAUGAAGCCACGGACCCUCGCGGUGAGUGUUACAGCUCUUAAGGUGGCGCGUCUGGAGUUUGUUCCUUCUGACGUUCGGAUGUGUUGGGAGUUUCUUCCUUCUGGUGGGUUGGUGGUCUCACUGGCUCAGGAGUGAAGCUGCAGACCUUCGCGGGGAGUGUUACAGUUCUUAAGGCGGCGCAUCUGGAGUUGUUCGUUUCUCCCGGUGGGCUAGUGGUCUCACUGGCUUCAGGAGUGAAGCUGCAGACCUUCGUGGUGUUACAUCUCUUAAGGCAGCGCAUCUGGAGUU